This is a non-coding RNA of Camelina sativa (false flax), 839 nucleotides long. NCBI's taxonomy places the organism in Eukaryota, Viridiplantae, Streptophyta, Magnoliopsida, Brassicales, Brassicaceae. The record is from RefSeq and is a predicted model, not a curated record.
AUAAUUCAUUACAACACGAUCCUAGAAAAAAAAAAAAAGAUCUAGCCUCCUUCUUCUUUAGGUCCUCGUUUCUGGUUCUUCUUUCCUUUAUCGUUUCUCUUCCGAGGUUCAAUUACUCGAUUCAAUUCACCUAAGAAUAUGUGUUGUGGAUCUGCUAAUCCCCCGUUUGAAUUCGGAGAACAUUUGUGGUCAGCGGCGGAGGUUAAAAGAGAGGAUGAGUGCUAAGAAAGUGGCUGGGUCUCUUGAUUUAUGGCUCUUUUAAACGUGUCAAGAGAGUUGAGAGAUGGAGUUAAUGAUGUGGCUAUUUGACUGACUCUGAUUUGUGUUCUGAUCUAUGUUUCCCGGUGAGGAAUUCUUCAUCCAUCACCAGUUUGCUUGUGAAGCUCCUUGAUUUGCUUAUACUUUUCGUGAAAAUUUUACAUGUUUCUGUUACCCUUUAAGUUCUUCUUAUUUGACACAUCCGUCAAAAACGUUUGAAGGUUGGUGACUUUGUCUGUAUAUGAAUAAUCAAUGAAUGUUUGAAGUUUGUUCCCACUUAUAGUUACCAUGACCAAAGUUGAGAUGCUUUAAGAACCUGCAAGUAUAUGUGACAUUGAGUUUAAGAGAAUGUGCAAAUGAGCUGAGACAGAGGUAAAAGAGUCAUGGCUUGAUGUUCAGCUUUUGUCAAGACGGAAAAGAUGAAUAUUGUUUGAUUGCAUUGUAUUUGUGCAAUCAUGUUGUGUGAUUUGUCACUUCUUGUUCCUUUUCGUUCCAUCUUGUUUCAAGCAAUUCUCAAAUCCAAUGGCUUUCUUUUCUACCUUACAAGUCAUUAAUCAAAUCACAUAUAUGCUUAACAAGUA